GGAGAACUUAAAAGCAGGUCGAGGGGCAGCGGGGAGGUGGCAUACUUCCGCCGGCGACCGGCGCACGGGUGAGUCCAUUUAAGGAACCUGCCCGUAGCAGGGGGAUAAGCGGAAGAACUUCCGUCUAAUACCGCGUAAUAACUCCGAGAGGCAUCUCCUGGGGUUUAAAGGGUAACACCGGCUACGGAUGGCCCUGCGGCGCAUUACCUAGUUGGCGGGGUAACGGCCCACCAAGGCGACGAUGCGUAGGGGUUCUGAGAGGAAGGUCCCCCACACUGGUACUGAGACACGGACCAGACUCCUACGGGAGGCAGCAGUGAGGAAUAUUGGUCAAUGGGCGCGAGCCUGAACCAGCCAAGUCGCGUGAGGGAAGACGGUCCUAUGGAUUGUAAACCUCUUUUGUCGGGGAGCAAAAGACGCCACGCGUGGCGUUCCGAGAGUACCCGAAGAAAAAGCAUCGGCUAACUCCGUGCCAGCAGCCGCGGUAAUACGGAGGAUGCGAGCGUUAUCCGGAUUUAUUGGGUUUAAAGGGUGCGCAGGCGGAAGAUCAAGUCAGCGGUAAAAUUGAGAGGCUCAACCUCUUCGAGCCGUUGAAACUGGUUUUCUUGAGUGAGCGAGAAGUAUGCGGAAUGCGUGGUGUAGCGGUGAAAUGCAUAAAUAUCACGCACAACUCCGAUUGCCAAGGCAGCAUACCGGCGCUCAACUGACGCUCAUGCACGAAAGUGUGGGUAUCGAACAGGAUUAGAUACC
RNAcentral lists this ribosomal RNA (750 nucleotides) under uncultured bacterium. Its description in RNAcentral is "bacterial SSU rRNA". It matches the Rfam family "Bacterial small subunit ribosomal RNA", at positions 45 to 786 of the family's 1533-position model. The record is from RNAcentral.